AGUGGGGAAUAUUGGACAAUGGGCGCAAGCCUGAUCCUGCCAUGCCGCGUGUGUGAAGAAGGCCUUCGGGUUGUAAAGCACUUUUGUCCGGAAAGAAAAGCUUCGGGUUAAUAACCCGGAGUUAUGACGGUACCGGAAGAAUAAGCACCGGCUAACUUCGUGCCAGCAGCCGCGGUAAUACGAAGGGUGCAAGCGUUACUCGGAAUUACUGGGCGUAAAGCGUGCGUAGGUGGUUUGUUAAGUCUGAUGUGAAAGCCCUGGGCUCAACCUGGGAACUGCAUUGGAAACUGGCUGACUAGAGUGCGGUAGAGGGGUGUGGAAUUCCCGGUGUAGCAGUGAAAUGCGUAGAUAUCGGGAGGAACAUCUGUGGCGAAGGCGACACCCUGGACCAGCACUGACACUGAGGCACGAAAGCGUGGGGAGCAAACAGGAUUAGAUACCCUGGUAGUCCACGCCCUAAACGAUGCGAACUGGAUGUUGGGGGCAACUUGGCCCUCAGUAUCGAAGCUAACGCGUUAAGUUCGCCGCCUGGGAAGUACGGUCGCAAGACUGAAACUCAAAGGAAUUGACGGAAGC
This 576-nucleotide ribosomal RNA is filed under the name uncultured bacterium. RNAcentral describes it as "bacterial SSU rRNA". It matches the Rfam family "Bacterial small subunit ribosomal RNA", at positions 353 to 920 of the family's 1533-position model. The record is from RNAcentral.